RNAcentral lists this ribosomal RNA (330 nucleotides) under uncultured eukaryote. RNAcentral's name for it is "partial 18S ribosomal RNA". It matches the Rfam family "Eukaryotic small subunit ribosomal RNA", at positions 1470 to 1796 of the family's 1831-position model. The record is from RNAcentral.
CCCUUAGAUGUUCUGGGCCGCACGCGCGCUACACUGACGAAUGCAACGAGCUUAUAAUAACCUUGGCCGAAAGGUCUGGGUAAUCUCCAAAUUUCGUCGUGAUGGGGAUAGAUUAUUGCAAUUAUUAAUCUUCAACGAGGAAUGCCUAGUAAGCGCAAGUCAUCAGCUUGCGUUGAUUACGUCCCUGCCCUUUGUACACACCGCCCGUCGCUCCUACCGAUUGAAUGGUCCGGUGAAGCGUUCGGACCGUGGCCUUUGGACGGUUCGCCGUCUGUUGGCUGCGGGAAGUUCGUUAAACCUUAUCAUUUAGAGGAAGGAGAANUCGUANCA